This 423-nucleotide ribosomal RNA is filed under the name uncultured bacterium. RNAcentral describes it as "bacterial SSU rRNA". It matches the Rfam family "Bacterial small subunit ribosomal RNA", at positions 355 to 775 of the family's 1533-position model. The record is from RNAcentral.
UAAGGAAUAUUGGUCAAUGGAGGCAACUCUGAACCAGCCAUGCCGCGUGCAGGAAGACAGCCCUCUGGGUCGUAAACUGCUUUUAUUCGGGAAUAAACCUCAUUACGUGUAGUGAGCUGAAUGUACCGAAGGAAUAAGGAUCGGCUAACUCCGUGCCAGCAGCCGCGGUAAUACGGAGGAUCCAAGCGUUAUCCGGAUUUAUUGGGUUUAAAGGGUGCGUAGGCGGCUUUUUAAGUCAGGGGUGAAAGACGGUAGCUCAACUAUCGCAGUGCCCUUGAUACUGAAGAGCUUGAAUGGACUAGAGGUAGGCGGAAUGUGACAAGUAGCGGUGAAAUGCAUAGAUAUGUCACAGAACACCGAUUGCGAAGGCAGCUUACUAUGGUUUAAUUGACGCUGAGGCACGAAAGCGUGGGGAUCAAACAG